RNAcentral lists this ribosomal RNA (497 nucleotides) under uncultured bacterium. RNAcentral describes it as "partial 16S ribosomal RNA". It matches the Rfam family "Bacterial small subunit ribosomal RNA", at positions 28 to 507 of the family's 1533-position model. The record is from RNAcentral.
GAUGAACGCUGGCGGCGUGCCUAAUACAUGCAAGUCGAGCGGACGGGCGAGGAGCUUGCGGCGUUGAUGUUAGCGGCGGACGGGUGAGUAACACGUGGAUAAUCUACCUAUAAUACUGGUAUAACUUGGGGAAACGGGAUAUAAUACCGUAUAAUAUUUUGAACCGCGUGGUGGGAAAGUGAGAUACGGUGUUGGGGUCAGGUAUAGAGGGAUACGGGCUGGAUUAGGUGGUUGGGGAGUUAACGGCUUACCAAGGCAACGAGGCAUAGGCGACGGGAGGGGGGGGUCGGCCACACUGGAAGUGGAACACGGUCCAGACGACUACGGGAGGCAGCAGUAGGGAAUCUUCCGCAAUGGGCGAGAGCCUGACGGAGCAACGCCGCGUGAGUGAUGAAGGUCUUCGGAUCGUAAAACUCUGUUAUUAGGUAAGAACAUAUGUGUAAGUAACUGUGCACAUCUUGACGGUAACUAAUAAGAAAGCCACGGCUAACUACGUG